UACAGAGGUCUCAAGCGUUGUUCGGAUUCAUUGGGCGUAAAGGGUGCGUAGGCGGCGCGGUAAGUCGGGUGUGAAAUCUCGGAGCUUAACUCCGAAACUGCAUUCGAUACUGUCGUGCUUGAGGACUGGAGAGGAGACUGGAAUUUACGGUGUAGCGGUGAAAUGCGUAGAUAUCAGGAGGAACACCAGUGGCGAAGGCGGUGCGCUGGGCCGGAACUGACGCUGAGGAGCGAAAGCGUGGGGAGCGAACAGG
Molecule: ribosomal RNA, 253 nt
Filed under: uncultured bacterium
Lineage: Bacteria
Description: partial 16S ribosomal RNA
Rfam family: Bacterial small subunit ribosomal RNA
Source: RNAcentral